This 183-nucleotide non-coding RNA is filed under the name Acidobacteriota bacterium. Its description in RNAcentral is "Acidobacteria bacterium 6S RNA". It matches the Rfam family "6S / SsrS RNA". From Rfam's summary of the family: E. coli 6S RNA was the first non coding RNA to be sequenced, but its function was unknown until recently. It consists of 184 nucleotides that fold into an extended hairpin structure with a large single-stranded internal bulge. The record is from RNAcentral. Lineage: Bacteria; Pseudomonadati; Acidobacteriota.
GGUCCCCUGCAGUGUUCGUGAUGGAAUAGGAACCCCUGAACCAACGUCCUUUAACCAGGGGGUCCGGAUAGUCGCUCCGCGGUGUGCAUGCCUCCGCGACGAGGAAGCCUGAAGCGGCGCGCAGGAUCCCCACCUUGUGACCAGGUUCAGGUCACCCAUCCACACGGCAUCAGCGGGGGGCCU